AAACUAUAUUAAAUACAAUUAUCAAAUUUAUUUUAAAUGUAAAAAAACAUUUAUUAUACAGAAAGACGACAAGACCCUAUCAAACUUUACUUUAGUUAAACUGGGGAAGUUAUAUAAUUAAUAUUUUAUUAAAAAAUACAAAUACAAAUAUCAAUACAAAUAAUAUAUAGUUACUGUAGGGAUAACAGCGUAAUAAUAUUUUAAAGCACUUAUUCAAAAAACUGAUUACGACCUCGAUGUUGAAUUAAUAUCCUAUUAAAAGCAAUAUUUUAAAAUGGAAGUCUGUUCGACUUUUAAAAAAUUACAUGAUUUGAGUUCAGACCGGUGUAAGCCAGGUCGGUUUCUAUCUUCUAUGAUACAAUUACAGUACGAAAGGACCUAAUAUUAUUUUUUAAUAUUGGCAGAUAAAUGCAUUAGAAUUAGAAUCUAAUCACAUUAAA
Molecule: ribosomal RNA, 440 nt
Filed under: Tisaniba bijibijan
Lineage: Eukaryota; Metazoa; Arthropoda; Arachnida; Araneae; Salticidae
Description: partial 16S ribosomal RNA
Rfam family: Bacterial large subunit ribosomal RNA (bases 60-352)
Source: RNAcentral